This 219-nucleotide long non-coding RNA is filed under the name Olea europaea (common olive). Its description in RNAcentral is "long non-coding RNA (OEUR_LNC010319)". The record is from RNAcentral. Lineage: Eukaryota; Viridiplantae; Streptophyta; Magnoliopsida; Lamiales; Oleaceae.
AACACUUUAUCCCCAGCUUGGAAUUCUAAAUCCUUCCUCCUUGUAUCUGCAUAGCUCUUUUGUCGAUCUGUGCUGCCUUUAUUCUUGCACGGAUCUUAUCGAUUACCUCGACUGUCCUUUCAACUAUUUCUGAUCCUAAAACUCUCUUCUCUCCGACUUCAUCCAAAUGAACAAGGGAUCUACAUCUUCUACCAUAGGGAGCUUCGUAUGGUGCCAUUC